RNAcentral lists this ribosomal RNA (489 nucleotides) under Anyperodon leucogrammicus (slender grouper). RNAcentral's name for it is "partial 16S ribosomal RNA". It matches the Rfam family "Bacterial large subunit ribosomal RNA", at positions 1946 to 2588 of the family's 2925-position model. The record is from RNAcentral. Lineage: Eukaryota; Metazoa; Chordata; Actinopteri; Perciformes; Serranidae.
CCGUGCGAAGGUAGCGCAAUCACUUGUCUUUUAAAUAGGGACCUGUAUGAAUGGCAUAACGAGGGCUCAACUGUCUCCUUUUUCAAGUCAAUGAAAUUGAUCUCCCCGUGCAGAAGCGGGGAUAAACACAUAAGAAACGAGAGACCCUAUGGAGCUUCAGACACUAAAGCAGACCAGUAUUAUUACCCUGAACAUAGGACUCGAACAAACUGUCCCCUGCCCUAUUGUCUUUGGUUGGGGCGACCGCGGAGAAACAUAAAACCUCCGCAAGGACUGAAUGUACUACAUUUACAACCAAGAGCAACAGCUCUUAUUAACAGAAUUUCUGACCAAUUAGAUCCGGCAACGCCGAUCAAUGAACCGAGUUACCCUAAGGAUAACAGCGCAAUCUCCUCUUUAAGUCCAUAUCGACAAGAGAAGUUUACAGAACUCAUGUUGAUCAGACAUCCUAAUGGUGCGCCGCUAUUUUCAGGUUCGGUGUGUCCAAGA